This 220-nucleotide unclassified non-coding RNA is filed under the name Hevea brasiliensis (rubber tree). Lineage: Eukaryota; Viridiplantae; Streptophyta; Magnoliopsida; Malpighiales; Euphorbiaceae. The record is from RNAcentral.
AUUUUUGGAGCUGUAUAAUGAGGAAAUAUCUGAUCUUUUAGCUCCAGAGGAAUGUUCAAAGUUUACAGAUGACAAAUCCAAGAAACCAUUAGCUCUGAUGGAAGAUGGUAAAGGUGGAGUUUUUGUUAGAGGCCUGGAAGAGGAGUUAGUAAGCUCUGCAAAUGAAAUCUAUAAUAUCUUGGAGAAAGGUUCCGCUAAAAGGCGUACAGCUGAAACUCUG